CACAGGCCACGGCCGGUUAACCCACAAUUCUUGGUUUGAUUUAGCACGAAAAGCAGAAAUCAAAAAAUGGAGGGAAAUCGCCGGAUCACAAAGGGACGUGAGGAUUUACUUGCAAAGAUCAGAGACUUCACUUGCUCAUUGGUGAGAAAUCUAAGCGAGGGACGAUCUCUCGCUGUUUUCAUCGACAAAUUCAGAAACUACUGCACCAAUCCCGAUGCUAAUUGCUACUGCAGCUCUGAUUUGCCAAAGGGGCAAGAAAUUCUGUCUGUUAAAAGAGAAUGCAAUGUGCGUAGAAUAGAUGUCUUGCUACGAGUCCUACUCAUUGUUCAACAACUCCUGCAAGAGAACAGACAUGGGUCUAAGAGAGAUAUAUAUUAUAUGCACCCUUCUGUAUUUUCAGAUCAAUCAGUCGUAGAUCAGGCAAUCAAUGACAUAUGCAUCCUUCUGCAGUGCAGUCGUCACAACCUAAAUGUGGUCUCUGUUGGAAAUGGGUUGGUGAUGGGCUGGCUGCGAUUUCUGGAAGCUGAAAGGAAAUUUGAUUGCAUGAACUUUCCCAGCAAUGUGCAUCCCAUUCCUGUGCAUGUUGAUGAAGUCAAAGAUAUUGUUAGUGUUGCCAAAUACAUACUGGUUGUGGAGAAGGAAUCAGUGUUCCAGCGUUUAGCUAAUGACCGUUUCUGCAAUGCAAACCGCUGUAUUGUGAUCACAGGAAGGGGCUAUCCAGAUAUUCCCACAAGAAGGUUCUUGCGACUCCUCCUUGAGAAGUUGUGUCUGCCUAUCUAUUGCUUGGUUGAUUGUGAUCCAUAUGGCUUUGACAUCCUGACUACCUACUGUUUUGGUUCUAUGCAAAUGGCCUAUGAUGCUAAAUUUCUGCGUGUUCCUGAGAUACGCUGGCUUGGAGCUUUUCCAUCUGAUUUUGAGAAAUAUGGUCUUCCUCAACAGUGUCUGCUUCCUUUGACAGCUGAAGAUAAGAGGAGAACUGAAACCAUGCUACUCAGAUGCUACCUGCAAAGGGAAGUACCACAAUGGAGGUGGCGGAAAGUGUGGAAUGGGGAUUAAGUGGAGAUCAUUUUUCCUUUUCACAACAGCACCAAAAACUUCAACCAUGUCAAGAUUUUCUGGCGUCAGCCCUGCAGGGAGUUUCCAAUCAAAAUAGUACAGCAACUGUGCAAGUGGAAGCUCAACAUUAGCUAUGCCAAACAAUAUUCCUGGACAAAUCCUCCUUCCAGCACCAAAUGGGAUAAAUUCAAAGGAAUUCAAGGCCUGCACGAUCCUGAAGAUUCAGAAGAACGUCUACAAAAUCUUCUUCUUCAUAAUCAGCCCCAGAUUUUGCUGCUGCCUUUCUAGCUCUAUGUUCAUAGAUGAUGCUUUCAAGUAUCUUAUCUGCUAUUUGAUGAAGCCUCUCUAAUUUAGGCCUCACCGUACUAAUCACAUGAAGCAAUUUGAUGGAAGGGUAGAUAUCAGCAAGACUAAAACCGCCAGCCAAUUGUAUCAGUUUCUUAACUGUUGGUAUGAAGAUUUCUUCUCCCUUCCAUAUCUUACCAAAGGCUGCUCUUGAGGUGACGCUGUAGGUCAAAGAAUUGAACAUCCUGCUAAAGUUGAUUGGUGAUCCUGCACCAGAAGACAGGGUUCUAAUGAGUUUUGAUAUUUCUUCUUCCCUGAUUGAUCUAAAUGACUGCACUCUUUUCGCAGUUAGCAGCUCCAGCGUGCAAAUUUUUCUCAUUUGUCUCCAAUAGUUUCCAUAGGGAGCGAAUGCAAUGUCUGAAAAAUCAUAACCCACAAUACUUGCAGCGAGGAGAAAGGGCCUUUGAGCAAAUAUGACAUCAUGGGUUUUCAUCACUUCUUUAGCAGUUUCAGGUGAAGAAAUAACUAUGUUGGUAACUUCACCAAGUUGAAGGUGCAUAAGAGGUCCAUACUUUUUAGCCAAGUCUCUCAGGCGGUGAUGGGGUAGGGAGCCAACUAAAUGGUGCAUACUCCCUAUAAGGGGCAAUUUCCACGGCCCUGGUGGUAGAUUUGGAGAUGAGUUGUUGAUUUUUGCUUUCUUCCUUAUUCUCAAUACCAAGAGGAUGAAAAUGAAGAAGAUGAAAAAGAUUGGAAAGGAGAGAAAUUGGUGUUCCAUGUUGAAAACACAAAGUUUUCAGGGAAGAGGCUUAUGGGUUGAUUUCCACAUUGCACUUCAUCCGAGUAUUUGGAGGUUAGUAUGCUAUUACAUCACAUUUUUAAUUCUGGACUUGUCUUGUAGUAAGAUGGAUCGCAUGGCAUCUUAACAUUGCCAGAUUAUUUUGAUAUUCUUGUCUGUUGCUUAAUUAAAAAACUUUCUACUUCA
Molecule: RNA transcript, 2323 nt
Organism: Hevea brasiliensis (rubber tree)
Lineage: Eukaryota; Viridiplantae; Streptophyta; Magnoliopsida; Malpighiales; Euphorbiaceae
Gene name: meiotic recombination protein SPO11-1
Exons: 16
Source: RefSeq, a predicted model, not a curated record